GCAGAGCGGGAGGUUUCCCGCAGCCCCGGCCACCUCGGGCUCUGCGGUGGCCCCGCGGGAGCGGCGUUUCCCCGGUGCCCGGCGGUGCGGGAGCGGCCCCCCCGGCCCCCCCCCCGCAGCCCCAGCCCCGGGAGCCGCCGCGGGUUUGGCACCCCAGGGAGGGGGGGGUGCCGAGAAAGCGGUGCGACAGAAGGCAGGGGCAUCACUGUCGUGUCAAACCCUCGGCGUAUACGGGAGCAGUUACUAGACACUCCAUACAUCAUUUCUGAUCCGCUGCCACCUUCUAAUGUUGUGUUUCGCAUAAAUUCUAGAGGAGCAUGACCUGAGCUCCAGCACGUCCUAGCGAGGCUAGGACUUGUCUUCUUUCACAGGCUGGGCCUUUUCUUGAUUGGCAAGAAAAUUAAUUUCCAGCCAGGCCUACCACCAGGUCUGUGGAUGAAGGCGCUGUAAGGAUGUGCUGCUGAGCAAAGCGCUCCUUAACUGCUUCUAAAUAGCUGUGGGAUAUAACUGGGACUGUCAUCCCACUUUUGCUGGACACUUCUUCUGUGGCCUUGGCCAGAUCAUUGAAAAGCUUUUGUUCUUUUUUUCCCAUUUGUUAAAAAGGAUUUUACUUUUUACCCCGUUGCAGGCAAGGGAGAAGGGAGGUGAUUCUGGGAAGAUAAAUGUUCAUGCAGCACUGUGAAGACUGUUGUUGCUAGAUUCUGCCUACAUACAUAACAAGAUGGACGAUACUCCCUUGUGGACACUGAGCUAAGAAUAAGAGGGCUUGAGGAAAUCUAAGUUUGAAACUCCUGCCAGAGUUGAAUGCUUUUCACAGCCUGUCCUCUUGCCUCUCGGGAGAGGAGCAGAGGAAAUGUCCAUGUUUCUGGAGCCCACCCCUGCGCGUGGCUGGGUUGAGAAGGGAAUGGAGCACGUGCCAUUGUGAUACAGAUGUGUGGACAGAACAGGGGUUAUCCACAGAAUUUUCAAUGGGCCUACAACAAAUAAUGACCAGUAAACACUACUGGAAAUGUAAUGAGAAUACAGCUAUUUAAGUGGGACUGAGUAUUGUCAGAAGAUGAAAGCUAACUCUUGGCAGAAUUCUGGCAGCUGGGGAGAUUUUUCUUGGUAUGACUCCAAGCAUUCAAAAGGAAACAAUACAGCGUCAUGGAAGACUGUAAAACAUCAGUGAACAAGCAGUUGUCAUUUCUGAUAAAUUAGAUAUCAUAGCUGUAUUAAUUAUAACAGUAGAAAUUAUUCAUAGUAUGCAUCUCAACGCAUAUUCCUUUGGUGUUUUUCUUCAAAGAAAUAAACUUAUUUUACAGUGAUGUUCAGUAAACUAAAUAAUACGCACCUAGACUAACCAGAACAUACAGGAUUGAAAAAUGGACUAGACAUUUUCACUUUCUCAAAUUACUCCUCUGAAUAAUUUGAGAGCAAGGUUGUCAAUUUUGGACUUCAGAUAUUUUUUUUUUUUUUGUCUAAGACCUUAAGUUAUUAAUCUUUUUUCAGAAGGAAAUUCCAAACCAAUAGAUGCUUAGUUUAGUAAGCCAUAAGGUUACUUGUUUUAAAUGAGAUAUCACAAGAUUUCUGUAAAUGUUUUAUAACCAAU
Long non-coding RNA from Tyto alba (common barn owl), 1591 nucleotides. RefSeq lists it as uncharacterized. The transcript is spliced from 5 exons. NCBI's taxonomy places the organism in Eukaryota, Metazoa, Chordata, Aves, Strigiformes, Tytonidae. The record is from RefSeq and is a predicted model, not a curated record.